UUUUGUUCAGCUGGUUUAUCCAUGAUAUAUUCAUCUUAACCGAUGACAGAUUCUCUUCCCUGCUGAGUUUAUCCUUGAUAUGUUCAUCCUAACCGAUGACAGAUAUUCUCCUCUUUGGUCUUCUACCCAGUAACUGGUAGUUCUAAAUCCUAUUUUUCUGCGAUUUUCCUCAAAAAGGUUAUUCUUACCCAGUAACCGGUAAUGAAUACUCCCUCCUGGCAUUUCCC
RNAcentral lists this long non-coding RNA (227 nucleotides) under Lathyrus oleraceus (garden pea). RNAcentral's name for it is "Pisum sativum (pea) long non-coding RNA (PSAT_LNC031618)". Lineage: Eukaryota; Viridiplantae; Streptophyta; Magnoliopsida; Fabales; Fabaceae. The record is from RNAcentral.